UUGUAUUUCGAAUUGAACAGGGUAUUUAUUUUUUUUGUUCUGCUGGUAAGUGUAAUGAGACACAUCACCUAGUUAAACUAAAGAUAGACGAUGCUUGACAAAUAUUGAACAUUAUAUCUGCUUUAUCCGGCCCAAUAACAAUAGUGGUAUUUCGAUCUGACAAGCUUGGUUGAUAUGAAGUUACCUUCAGGUGAUCAUAGUCUGCAUCGAUCUUAAUGUACCAUGGUUCUAUUGUAGCGACCAUAUUUAUGAGCUUCUGCUGGCCAAAAAAUCAUGUUCAUCGGCAUGCACCAGCACCACACUGCUGCUGGUACCUCAUUCCCCUAAUAUCACUAGUGCCCAAGGUAAUUGCAUAGAACAACUGGGAAAAGAUCAAAAUACUGAAAUUGGGUUGUGAAUUUGUGACCCAGGCAGUCAUCUAAAUUAAGCAAGUAGAUUUGCAUGGUUCCAGGACUAACUGGAGUAUACAUGUUGGGGAAUGGCCGCAUCCUUCCCCCUGCUAGCGUCUAAGGAUAUCCUUCACCCGAGGAACCUCCGACGUAUGAAGCGUCGAAGGCUAUCCUCCACCCAGGAAACCUCCGUGCAGAUGCAUGCGGAGGACCCUGAGGAAGGCUGACGUUGACAUGCCUCUUGUGAUGUUAAGCAUAUGCAGGGACCGGGACACCGGCGGAGAUCUGCAGGCGAAGAAGGAGGGAACCUUCGAGCCUUUCUGUGACGAAGGAUGUUCAAGGGACGCGGCGGAGGAGAUAAACCUCUGGCGCAUCUGAACCGAGGAGCCUCCGGAGUGGCCAACCCGAGGAACCUCCGGCGUGGCCGGGCCAAGGAACCUCCGACGUGGCCGGGCCAAGGAACCUCCGACGCGGAAGUGUCGAAGGAUCGACUGCUGGGCGGAGGAUACGAGCGUUCGACAGUCUGAACCCCAGACAAGGAGCGCGUGGAGAGCCCGUGGUGUGAAAUUACACAAGUGACUUAGGGUCAGUAGACUGUGAUGUAAGAAUAUGCUGGAAUAUUCUCCCACCGUCACGGGGCAUAUCUGUAAUUGUCCUAGGUCGGUUUCCGAGCCCUAUAUAAGGGGUGUGAUACCGUCAUUAAUACAGAGAGCAUUCAUUGUAUUCACCUACUGUUGAGCUCAAUGUUCUUACUAUUCUCACGGCACCGAGUGAGAAGGUUCUCGUUUCACUGUAUCGCUGGGGAGUGCGGUGCGCAUUCUCCCAACAAUGCAUUGUGUUCCUAAUCUGUUCAGCUAUUGG
Molecule: long non-coding RNA, 1250 nt
Filed under: Sorghum bicolor (sorghum)
Lineage: Eukaryota; Viridiplantae; Streptophyta; Magnoliopsida; Poales; Poaceae
Description: long non-coding RNA (SBIC_LNC007511)
Source: RNAcentral